Molecule: ribosomal RNA, 252 nt
Filed under: uncultured bacterium
Lineage: Bacteria
Description: partial 16S ribosomal RNA
Rfam family: Bacterial small subunit ribosomal RNA
Source: RNAcentral
UACGUAGGUCCCGAGCGUUGUCCGGAUUUAUUGGGCGUAAAGCGAGCGCAGGUGGUUUAUUAAGUCUGGUGUAAAAGGCAGUGGCUCAACCAUUGUAUGCAUUGGAAACUGGUAGACUUGAGUGCAGGAGAGGAGAGUGGAAUUCCAUGUGUAGCGGUGAAAUGCGUAGAUAUAUGGAGGAACACCAGUGGCGAAGGCGGAUUGCUGGACAGUAACUGACGCUGAGGCGCGAAAGCGUGGGGAGCAAACAGG